UCUUUCUUUUCUUUCUUCUUCUCUUUCUUCUGUUCUUCUUUUCUCCUUCUGUUCCUCUCCUGCAGCGAUUCUGCAACGAUUUUGGGAAAUAAAACAGUGGUUUUGAGAUCGAGGAAGAAGAUACAGAUCGAGUAUUGGUUGUUGGUGAUGGUGUUGAAGUUUGUUUGAGCACGAGAUGAAGAGGUUAGAGUUGUUGCCGUAAAUUGAAGAUGUGAUUUCUGAAGUUAGGGUUUAUGUGGAAUUGAUAUGUGAUUCGUGAUUCUGUUAGAUGAAGAUUAAAGGGGUUGUUGUUUAAUUGAUGGUGUAAGGUUGUUUUGAUGAAGUUAGAUGAAGAAUCAUGAGUUAGGGUUUCUGGAAGAAAUCAGAAGAAGAAUUAGAUGAUGAAAUUGAUGCUCAAGAGGAUUGAUUGAAGAUGGGUUUGUCACAAAUCAAGAGUUAAGGUUGAAUUUGAAGCUGAGAAUGAUGUUUUUCACCAAAUCAGGUUGUGUAUGUGAUUGCUAUGGGAACAGAAUGAAGUUGUUGUUGAAGUUAAGGUUGUGUUGAGAGUUGGGUUACAGGAAUGAAUGCGUAUGGAUGGUGGUGAAAGUUGUGAUUCAGGUGGAACUGCAGAUUCAGUUUGUGGUGGUGGAGUUAUUGCUGAUCAGAAUGCUAGAGAACUGUUAGUGGAGGAAUUAUUACACUGAACUGGUGAUUAAGACAGUGAAGAGCUGAAGAUGGUGGAUAUGAAAUUGAGUUACAGUUGUUUCUUGUUGAACUGGUGGUGCUGAAAUGGUUAAGAUGGACAUGGUGAUGUUGAUGUGAGAAUUUAUGAAGUUAGGGUUUGAACCUCUGGUUUUAGUGUGUUGGUGUGAAGUAGUGACCUUGUAGAACAGUAAAUGGUGUGAUACAAUCUGGUGGAGGGAAAGAUGAGACCUGGAAUGGUGGUGAUGAUUGUGUUAGUUCUGAUAUGUGGAUUGCAGGUGGCUGCGGCUGAUGAUGGGUAUUGGUUGUAUGUAUGUCAAUGGAUGGGAAUGAAUCUUACUUUUGGACUGAGACUGUAAUAUUGCAUAUUUGGAGAUGAUGGUGAAGUUGCAGGGACUAGUGAUUGAAUGAAUGUGCGAUGGUACUAUUGUGGUUGGUGUUUAGGUUGUUGUAGUUGAUGUAAGAUGUUAAUAGAUUGUGCUGGUAUUGGAGUCUGUUGGAAGAGAAGAAAUGUUUUAGGUUUGAAAGGAUUGUAUGCUUAACCAAAGAUUGUAAACCUGGAGUUGCUGCCAUCAUGUAGAUUAUUGUUAUAGCAGAAUGUAGAAAGAAUGAGUAGCAGAUACUGCUUUUGCAGGUAGGCUAAGCUUGUAUUUGUAGUUAAAUUAUGUUUUUCAGUUGUAUUGUGUUUAUAUAAUUCUAUUAGAGUGAAUUAUUUGUGUAGUAAUCAAAUAGAUAGAAUCAGGUUGGUAGU
Molecule: long non-coding RNA, 1432 nt
Organism: Papaver somniferum (opium poppy)
Lineage: Eukaryota; Viridiplantae; Streptophyta; Magnoliopsida; Ranunculales; Papaveraceae
Exons: 2
Source: RefSeq, a predicted model, not a curated record